Long non-coding RNA from Bos taurus (domestic cattle), 2686 nucleotides. NCBI's taxonomy places the organism in Eukaryota, Metazoa, Chordata, Mammalia, Artiodactyla, Bovidae. The record is from Ensembl.
GGAAGGCUUUCUUAUCUCUUCUUGCUAUUCUUUGGAACUCUGCAUUCAGAUGCUUAUAUCUUUCCUUUUCUCCUUUGCUUUUCGCUUCUCUUCUUUUCACAGCUAUUUAUAAGGCCUCCCCAGACAGCCAUUUUGCUUUUUUGCAUUUCUUUUCCAUUGCUCCCUAAUUUCUGGCAUACCCUCAAGAUUAAAUUCUGUAUUUUAUCCAUGUGUUUUUGGCUAUGCUCUGUAUUAUGCACUUGUAGCUACCUCAUAGCAGUGCUUAAUACAAUCUGUUAUUGUUUAUGUCCUCUAUUCUCCUGUCUCUUUCAGACUUAUACUCUUUGAGGAUGGAGACUGUCUAUUGGUCAGUGUAACCCAGGUGCCCAGGGCUUGGCUCAUGGUUAGCUCACAGUUUAUUCAAAAGUUUGUAGACUGAAUCCAUGAAUGAAUAUAUCCAUAUAUGGACAGAUGAAUGAAGAGACACAUGGGUUAAUGGAUGAGUGGGGAGAUGAUUAAGUGCAUUAACAGAUGGUUAAGGGUAACUCCCAAGUCAGCGUUUCAGUUUAUUCAGUUCUUACAUCUCCAGAUGCCUAUUCCACUUGGCUCUUUUGCUGUCAUCUCAACCUAUACAAACCUGAGCACUGCCCUAGGUGAUUCCUUAUCUCUUUUCAGACAAUGGUGUUCCUUUCACUGGUCCUCUGUUUAUUUCAUUCAGUCAGCAGUGUUUUUUGCUCAUUUGUUUGGCUAUCUGCUGUGUGCCAAACAGAGUUGUAGAGAAUGGAUACAGAGUCCCUAAGACAGGCAAGUUUCCAGGGGACUCAAAGGAGUUCCCAGUCCACAGUAGGGUGCAAGGUGAUGUAACAAACAGUCAGCAAGUAAAAAGUUGGCAAGAUAAUAACAGAGCAUAAUGAGUGAUACCUUAAGGAAAAAAGAGAAUGAUGAGAUAGAAAGAAAGGACCUCACAGCAGAUAAGAUGGUUGGGGUGGGGGGGCUUGUUUGAUAUGUGAUAUUAAGCAAGACCUGAAGGAUGAGAAUAAGCCACUGAAUAUAAGAGCAAAAAGAAGAACAUUCCAGGCAGAGAAACCAGCAAAUGCAAGGGCUGUAGGACUGCAAAGAGCCUGGUGUGUUUCAGGUUUGAAAAGGGGACCAGUGAGGCUGUGAACAGCAGGUGAAUGUAUAAAAGGAGGUUGUUAACAGACAUGGGCCAGGGCCUGCAGGGCCUGGAAGGCCAUGGUUAGGAGUCAAAUUUUAUUCUAAGGACAUUGGCAAGCCAUUGAAGAGCCUCAAAUUGGAGAAUUACAUGAUCCAUCUCGCAGGUGGCAAGGAGCUGCCCUGAAAAGCCCCAGGUGCAGAUGAUUCACAGAUACAAAGAUUUCACUAUUUUGGUAUCAUUCCUGUGUCUGUGGUCAUGACACUGUUACAAGAAUGAAAAGAUAAGUCACAGACCUGGAGAAAAUAUUGACAAAAAGUGCAUCUGAAAAAGGACUGUUAUCCAAAAUGCACAGAAACUCUUGACCCUCAGCAAUAAGAAAACGAACAACCUGAUUAAAAAGGAGGCAAACUGAGCAGACGCCUCCCCAGAGCAGACACCUCCCCAGAGCAGACGCCUCCCCAGAGCAGACGCCUCCCCAGAGCAGAUGUAUAGAUGGCAAAUCAGCAUAUAGAAAGGUGCUCCACAUCAUAUCUCAUUAGGGAAAUGCAAAUUAAGACAAUGAGAUACCACUGCCCAACUAUUAAGAAGGCCAUAAUCCAGAACACGGAUACCCCAAAUGCUGGCAAGGAUGUGGAGCUACGGGAGUUCUCAUUCAUUCCUGGUGGGAAUGUAAAACAUCUUCCACAGUCGCUGUGGAAGACAAGCACUUUCCACAAAACUAAGUAUACUUUUCUACUAUGCAGUAACCAUGCUGUAUUUACUCAAAUGAAUUGAAAAUGUAUAUUCAUUCAAAAACUUGCACAUAAAUAUUGAUAGAAGUUUUAUUUAUAUUUGCUAAGAUUUGGCAGCAACCAUGAUAUUCUUCAGUAGAUGACUAAAUGAACUACGGUAUGUCCAAACAAUGAAAUAUUAUUUAGUGCUAAUAAGAAAUAAAAUAUCAAGCUAUGAAGACAUGAAUGAACCUUAAAUGCCUAUUACUCAGUGGAAAAUAAUCCAAUCUGAAACGGUUACAUGUUUAAUGAUUCCAACUGUAUGAUAUUCUGAAAAAGGCAAGACUAUGGAGACAGUAGGGAAGCCCUGGUGGCUCAGACAACAAGAAUCUACCUACAAUGCAGGAGACAGUUUUGAUCCCUGGGUCAGGAAGAUCCCCUGGAGAAGGAAAUGGCAACUCACUCCAGUAUUCUUGCCUGAAGAAUUCCACGGACAGAAGAGCCUGGCAGGCUACAGUCCAUUGGGUCGAAGAGAGUCAGACACAACUGAGCGACUCACAUACUGCUACAUGGAGACAGUAAAAAGUUCAUUGAUUGCCAGGAGCAAGGGGGAAGGGAAGGAUGAAUCUGCAGAACAUGGAGGAUUUUUAAGGCAGUGGAAUUGUUCUAUAGGAUACUAUGGUGGUGGUUACAUGUCAAACAUUUGUCAAAAUCCAUGGAGUGUAAAACUCUAAGAGUGAACCGUAAUGUAGACUGUGAAUUCUGAAUGACGAUUGUGUCAAUGUAGGUUCAUUGAGCAUAAUGAAUAUACUGCUCUGGUGCAGGAUGUUGGUAGUUGGAG